UACGGGGGGAGCAAGCGUUGUUCGGAUUUACUGGGCGUAAAGGGCGCGUAGGCGGUCGUGACAAGUCACUUGUGAAAUCUCCGGGCUUACUCGUCGAACGGUCAAGUGAUACUGUCGGACUAGAGUACAGAAGGGGCAACUGGAAUUCUCGGUGUAGCGGUGAAAUGCGUAGAUAUCGAGAGGAACACCUGCGGCGAAGGCGGGUUGCUGGGCUGAUACUGACGCUGAGGCGCGAAAGCCAGGGGAGCGAACGGG
This 255-nucleotide ribosomal RNA is filed under the name uncultured bacterium. RNAcentral's name for it is "partial 16S ribosomal RNA". It matches the Rfam family "Bacterial small subunit ribosomal RNA", at positions 524 to 776 of the family's 1533-position model. The record is from RNAcentral.